Molecule: unclassified non-coding RNA, 1707 nt
Filed under: Zea mays
Lineage: Eukaryota; Viridiplantae; Streptophyta; Magnoliopsida; Poales; Poaceae
Description: misc RNA Zm00001eb423280
Source: RNAcentral
AGGAAAUACGUGCGUCCACGUCGGCUUAAAUUUUUUCAGCCAUUGGAUAGUCUGUCAACGGCUGUGAAUGCAUCGCACGGCCAGCGACUGGAAGCUUCCCGUAGCAGCUACCACACAGUCAACCGGAUACUUCCAGGUCCUUGGACUCCUUGCAUAUCGGUCAGUUUGCCAUCAGAACAAGGAGAAAAAAAGGUUCCGGUCUUCAUCCCUUCCAUUUCCAAAGGACGACGCUCUCACCAUUCACGAACGGCGACUGCGGAUCGAUCGUGCGUCGUCUCCUGCGCCGGCCUCUCUUCAAGUCAGUUCCCAAGCAGCCCACAGAUUCUAUUGAUUGUGGGUGUCUUUCAGCAUCUGAGGGUUUCUACCAGUCCAGGUUACACACAAGCUUCAAAUUAUCGCAAAAUUCCUCUUACAUAUCUACAUCUCAUACCGGACCAGGUCUCAUACCGGACCAGAAAAAUGGAAUACACUUUAUUACCUGAUUUAGCACCGCAUAAGAUACAUGCAAAGAUUCAAGUACAUGUAUCUAGAAAGUGGCUUUUCCGAGGUGCUACUGAUAGUGGACCACUACAACAUGUUGAUAUGGUUUUGUCUGAUCGAGAGGGUAAUGCUAUUUAUGCUGAAAUCCCUGGAAAUUUAGCUGAACAAAAAGCAACAAAUAUUGAAGAAGGAGGAGUUUAUGAUAUCAACAGAUUCAGAGUGUGCGCAGCAAAAACUGUUUUCAAAAUAGUGGAUGGGGACAAAAUGAUCCAAUUCACAUUUCAUACCAUAGUAAAAUGUGCCACAAGCCCUCCAACAACAUUUCCAUUAUAUGUUUAUCGGCUAACAUCAUUUGAUCUAAUUGAGCCUCAUGUUCAAACUACAAAUAACUUUGUUGAUGUUCUUGGUGUCAUAACUGAAAUUCAUGAACUGACACCUGUGCAUGUCCGAAGUCAACUAACACCAACAGUGACAAGGACCAUUAUCAUAGAAGAUCUCAGGAAACAGGAUUUGAAUGUACUAUCACAAUAGCAGAAAUACCAGCUGAACACAAAUGGUGGUUUCCAUCUUGCACAAAAUGCAAUAAAGCAACAAUCCCUCACACUACAGGUUAUCACUGUGAAUCAUGCAAUUGGGAUGGAUACAAAUUUAAUGCAAACAAGAGUAAUAUCAAUAGCCCAGAAAAAGAUGAUGGCGAUAAGGAAACCGCACAGCUUGAUACAAUACCCACUAACAAAGGAAAAGGACCAGCAGAUACAAUUGAAUCGCCACCUAAAAGGUUCAAACAAGGGACGAUACGCAUCGGAAAAGAAAUGGACAUCAAAUCCUCCGAGAACUAAAGUUUCACUCAGAUCUUCGUCGACCUUUUGAGUUGCACAAUGUCUAUUUUGCAACAUAUGUAUAAUUAUAUAUGAUGACCUACUCAGCUCUUUGAAAACAAUUUAUGUAAAUAUAACAGCCUAAUUCUACGUAGUGGACAAAAAUGUUGACUCUGAUUACAGCUAAGGUAACUCUAUUUCAUAUAAACAUAUAACAUCUGCAGUAAUCAAAUUAGAAAAAAUUUCUAACGCGCGCAGGGCACGCGCCAGUGACUAGUGUAUAAGUAUUCCCUCUAUUCUAAAUUUAAGUUAUUUUGGCUCUCUAGAUACAAAACUCUUAUCGGACAUUUAGGUAUACAUCUAGGUAUACACUAUGUUUGGAUAUAUACUUUUAUAACAUAACUACUCC